RNAcentral lists this long non-coding RNA (361 nucleotides) under Hordeum vulgare. Its description in RNAcentral is "long non-coding RNA (HVUL_LNC013842)". Lineage: Eukaryota; Viridiplantae; Streptophyta; Magnoliopsida; Poales; Poaceae. The record is from RNAcentral.
UAGCUCCCGCGUCGCUGUCCUUUUUGCAAGGGAAUGGUCCGGCCACUUUGGGUCUUUUGUGUGCAGCCUUUCCCUGCAUUUCUGCAAGAGACUGUUUCCAGGACUCAACCCAAGGCAACAACUUUACCGUAACAAGAAAACAUUACUGCAAUAACAUUAAUGUUACCGUAACCAGGACUCAACCCAAGCCAAGGCUCCCCUUCUGUGACAAGAAAACAUUACUGCAAUAACAUUAAUAAUAAGGAUGCAGUAGUACGGAGUAUGUUUUAUUCGUUUAGGUCUUACUCCCACCAGUUUAUUUACAUAUAUCUUCAUUAUGAAAUGUACUGCAGACAUAAAAAAAUCAAAUAUUCAGGAAGCA